Molecule: ribosomal RNA, 373 nt
Filed under: uncultured organism
Description: partial 16S ribosomal RNA
Rfam family: Bacterial small subunit ribosomal RNA
Source: RNAcentral
GUAGGUGGCAAGCGUUGUCCGGAAUUAUUGGGCGUAAAGCGCGCGCAGGCGGUUCUUUAAGUCUGAUGUGAAAGCCCACGGCUCAACCGUGGAGGGUCAUUGGAAACUGGAGAACUUGAGUACAGAAGAGGAAAGCGGAAUUCCACGUGUAGCGGUGAAAUGCGUAGAGAUGUGGAGGAACACCAGUGGCGAAGGCGGCUGUCUGGUCUGUAACUGACGCUGAGGCGCGAAAGCGUGGGGGAGCAAACAGGAUUAGAUACCCUGGUAGUCCACGCCGUAAACGAUGAGUGCUAAGUGUUAGGGGGUUUUCCGCCCCGUUAGUGCUGCAGCUAACGCAUUAAGCACUCCGCCUGGGAGUACGGCCGCAAGGCUG